Long non-coding RNA from Camelus dromedarius (Arabian camel), 470 nucleotides. RefSeq lists it as uncharacterized. The record is from RefSeq and is a predicted model, not a curated record. NCBI's taxonomy places the organism in Eukaryota, Metazoa, Chordata, Mammalia, Artiodactyla, Camelidae. The transcript has 3 exons.
CCGCCCCCCCUGCCGGUCACGGUACAAAUUCUCCGGAUCGUCUGGGUUAGGCUCCGGUUCUGUAGGAUGUGCAAACGGUUUCCACUCACCCGGCGGGGAGGCCAAAAAUGAAAACAGAGGGUGGUCCACAAGCGAAGAACGGGGUGCGUUUAGAGGUAGAUUUUCCUUCCUUACGAUUUAGGAGUGAGCAGUAAGACUAGCCACUGUCAAGGACAAGGGAUCACCCAAGGCUAUACAUACAAGAAGUCAGGGAUUACUGGGAGCCAUCUUGGAAAUUGCCGACCUCUGGUAGCCAGUGGGUUGUUCUCUAGAUCUACAUGUACCCAGGAGUGGAAUUGCUGGAUCAUAUAGUUUUUUGAGAAACCUCAUACUGUUUUGUACAGUGGCUGCACCAAUUUACACUCCCACCAGCAGUGUACGAGGGUUCCUUUUUUAGAGAAAGGUUUUUUUGUUUGUUGUUUUUGUUUUGU